This is a long non-coding RNA of Engraulis encrasicolus (European anchovy), 441 nucleotides long. RefSeq lists it as uncharacterized. Lineage: Eukaryota; Metazoa; Chordata; Actinopteri; Clupeiformes; Engraulidae. The record is from RefSeq and is a predicted model, not a curated record. The transcript is spliced from 3 exons.
UAGCCAUUUCGACCGUGCCACAACGAUGCCGACAGCUCUCUUUGCCACCCCUACAACGUGCUUGUUCAAGCAGCUCCUUUUCUUUCAGGUUUUGUGCUUAGAAAGAGUGACAUGAUGCAGGAUGGAGUUGCGAGGAGUUCCCGGACACGGUCAGAGAUGGCUGGAACAGUCGGAUGGAUUUGCAAUCAUGCAAUAAAUGCCCACAUAAGACGCCAUGGUCAAAUGGUUGGAGAUCGUUGAGAGUUUGCAGCUAUUGAUGAAAGUUGUUUCCUUAAUAAAAGCAAGUAUCACCACAGAAGGGCCGGUGCAACAUGGCGACGGAAAAAGUGGGUAUUAAGAAUAUUAGGAGUAGGUGACCGCCAGAAACAUCCUGUCUUGUGGCUGGUGUGGUUAAACAAGUGCGUCCGGGAACCACCGUCAUCAGUGACCAAUGGGGCACUU